This 252-nucleotide ribosomal RNA is filed under the name uncultured bacterium. RNAcentral describes it as "partial 16S ribosomal RNA". It matches the Rfam family "Bacterial small subunit ribosomal RNA", at positions 524 to 776 of the family's 1533-position model. The record is from RNAcentral.
UACGUAGGGUGCGAGCGUUGUCCGGAAUUAUUGGGCGUAAAGAGCUCGUAGGCGGUGUGUCACGUCGGCCGUGAAAACCUGCAGCUUAACUGUGGUCUGCAGUCGAUACGGGCAGGCUAGAGUUCGGUAGGGGAGACUGGAAUUCCUGGUGUAGCGGUGAAAUGCGCAGAUAUCAGGAGGAACACCGGUGGCGAAGGCGGCCAUCUGGGACAACACUGACGCUGAGGCACGAAAGCGUGGGGAGCAAACAGG